This 406-nucleotide ribosomal RNA is filed under the name uncultured bacterium. RNAcentral describes it as "partial 16S ribosomal RNA". It matches the Rfam family "Bacterial small subunit ribosomal RNA", at positions 30 to 526 of the family's 1533-position model. The record is from RNAcentral.
AUUGAACGCUGGCGGCAGGCUUAACACAUGCAAGUCGAACGAGUGGCGGACGGGUGAGUAAUGUCUGGGAAACUGCCCGAAGGAGGGGGAUAACUACUGGAAACGGGAGCUAAUACCGCAUCGUAGCGGAUGGGACCGUAUGGGAUGAGCUAGGAGGUGGGGUAAUGGCUCACCUAGGCGACGAUCCCUAGCUGGUCUGUGAGGAUGACCAGCCACACUGGAACUGGGAAACGGUCCAGACUCCUACGGGAGGCAGCAGUGGGGAAUAUUGCACAAUGGGCGCAAUCCUGAUGCAGCCAUGCCGCGUGUAUGAAGAAGGCCUUCGGGUUGUAAAGUACUUUCAGCGAGGAGGCGUUACUCGCAGAAGAAGCACCGGCUAACUCCGUGCCAGCAGCCGCGGUAAUAC